RNAcentral lists this long non-coding RNA (1114 nucleotides) under Gallus gallus (chicken). RNAcentral's name for it is "lncRNA (ENSGALG00010017067.1)". Lineage: Eukaryota; Metazoa; Chordata; Aves; Galliformes; Phasianidae. The record is from RNAcentral.
AAUAUUCCUGAUCUUGUCCUUUUAUCUGGUGUCCCAUGACACAAAGAAUGAUCUCUUUCUGGAAGCUGUGUUGCAGUGUGUGAAUAUAUUAGAUAUGCUGGUUAAGCUAUUUCUCCUCUUUCCCCAGCUCAAUAGCCCUCAUUCCUAUUGUUAAAGCAGUUUAAAAGCUGCUUUAAAGAACAACAACACCAAGUAAAACCUUCAGGACUGCAAGUAUCUUACUCUCGGAAUACCCAAGUAAGCUAAACACUGCCAUAAAACAAAAAAUGAGCAAGAAGGUGAUUAAGAACAGGAGCUUUGUUCUGUCAGCAUUGGCUGGUGAAGCAAUGUGUGCGUCCCCAGAACAUGAAAUGCCACAUCAUCAUCUCCUACUCAGUCUCCUCCUAACUCCAGCACAGCUGGGUCAUUUUGUCUCAAUUUCCUUCAAUAAUGAGAUCCACAAUUACGAAAUGAAGGUUCAGAAUAAAAUACCAUCUCAAGUGAUUGCAGUCUCUAAUGAGACAGAACUGCUGUCCUCUUCACGGCUCCUUGCAGCUGAUUCAACAAGUAAUUACGUAUGACGGCAACGUUGGAGAAAAAGGCAGUUUGAAAUGCUGCAAUUCUUCUCUCACCACGUCGGAGUUAUUCAUGGUUAAAAAAAUACUCUUUUAAUCAGAUUGGUGUUAUUGAAAUCUAGAGAUCAGUGGGUUUGGUUAACAUGUAAUGCCUCUGGGGGCCACAUUCUGCCCUCAAAUAGAAGCAAUCCCACGAGCUGUGUGCUGAUACGCAGAUGAAAAUUUUAACCUUUCAGGCAAAAAAAAAUCCUCCUCCUUCUCCUCCUGGCUUCCCUCAAGAAUCCACUUAAUCAUAUUUUGAAAUCUGAUAGGUUUUAGGAGUGAUAACAGUAGUCUGGGCUGCAGCAAUAGAAAGAAACGGAUUGUUCUAACCUUUAACAAGAGCGAAUGCAAAGAGCGAUUAAUUUGUGAGGCUUUCUGGGGUUAGAGAUGAAAUCCCAGCUCCCUUGAAGUCUAUCGUUUCAGCUCCUAUGGAGAUUGCACAGCAAGGAUCACAAUCCAGCUCCUGUUUUAUUCCUACAAUAAGCAACCUGAAGUUUCGCUAUCACCAAAUAAGCUGU